Molecule: non-coding RNA, 29 nt
Filed under: Mus musculus (house mouse)
Lineage: Eukaryota; Metazoa; Chordata; Mammalia; Rodentia; Muridae
Source: RNAcentral
UUAUACAGUAUAUUUUUUUAAUCAUUUGA